RNAcentral lists this transfer RNA (71 nucleotides) under Flammulina velutipes. Its description in RNAcentral is "tRNA-Arg". It matches the Rfam family "tRNA". Rfam says of the family: Transfer RNA (tRNA) molecules are approximately 80 nucleotides in length. The record is from RNAcentral. Lineage: Eukaryota; Fungi; Basidiomycota; Agaricomycetes; Agaricales; Physalacriaceae.
AUUUUCUUAAUUUAAAGGCAGAAUAGUACUCUUCUAAAGUACAUAUUCCGGUUCGAUUCCGGAAGAGAAUA